GACAGAGGUGGCAAGCGUUGUUCGGAGUUACUGGGCGUAAAGAGUCUGUAGGUGGUCUGUCUAGUCUUUGGUGAGAGGCCGUGGCUUAACCAUGGGAUGCCAAAGAGACUGGCAGACUGGAGGCUGGGAGAGGGAAGCGGAAUUUCUGGUGUAGCGGUGAAAUGCGUAGAUAUCAGGAGGAAGGCCGGUGGCGAAGGCGGCUUCCUGGAACAGGCCUGACACUGAGAGACGAAAGCGUGGGGAGCAAACAGG
This 252-nucleotide ribosomal RNA is filed under the name uncultured Leptospirillum sp. RNAcentral describes it as "partial 16S ribosomal RNA". It matches the Rfam family "Bacterial small subunit ribosomal RNA", at positions 524 to 776 of the family's 1533-position model. Lineage: Bacteria; Pseudomonadati; Nitrospirota; Nitrospiria; Nitrospirales; Nitrospiraceae. The record is from RNAcentral.